UACGGGGGGAGCAAGCGUUGUUCGGAUUUACUGGGCGUAAAGGGCGCGUAGGCGGCCAGCGCAAGUCAGUUGUGAAAUCUCCGAGCUUAACUCGGAAAGGUCAACUGAUACUGCGCGGCUAGAGUGCGGAAGGGGCAACUGGAAUUCUUGGUGUAGCGGUGAAAUGCGUAGAUAUCAAGAGGAACACCUGCGGCGAAGGCGGGUUGCUGGGCCGACACUGACGCUGAGGCGCGAAAGCGUGGGGAGCAAACAGG
This 254-nucleotide ribosomal RNA is filed under the name uncultured bacterium. RNAcentral's name for it is "partial 16S ribosomal RNA". It matches the Rfam family "Bacterial small subunit ribosomal RNA", at positions 524 to 776 of the family's 1533-position model. The record is from RNAcentral.